UACGGGGGGGGCAAGCGUUGUUCGGAAUUACUGGGCGUAAAGGGUUCGUAGGUGGCCAAUUAAGUCAGACGUGAAAUCCCUCAGCUUAACUGGGGAACUGCGUCUGAGACUGGAUGGCUUGAGUGCAGGAGAGGAACGCGGAAUUCCAGGUGUAGCGGUGAAAUGCGUAGAUAUCUGGAGGAACACCGGUGGCGAAGGCGGCGUUCUGGACUGCAACUGACACUGAGGAACGAAAGCCAGGGGAGCAAACGGG
This 253-nucleotide ribosomal RNA is filed under the name uncultured bacterium. Its description in RNAcentral is "partial 16S ribosomal RNA". It matches the Rfam family "Bacterial small subunit ribosomal RNA", at positions 524 to 776 of the family's 1533-position model. The record is from RNAcentral.